This 301-nucleotide ribosomal RNA is filed under the name uncultured bacterium. RNAcentral describes it as "partial 16S ribosomal RNA". It matches the Rfam family "Bacterial small subunit ribosomal RNA", at positions 509 to 807 of the family's 1533-position model. The record is from RNAcentral.
CAGUCGCCACGGUAAUACGUAGGUGGCAAGCGUUGUCCGGAAUUAUUGGGCGUAAAGGGCUCGCAGGCGGUUUCUUAAGUCUGAUGUGAAAGCCUCCGGCUCAACCGGGGAGGGUCAUUGGAAACUGGGAAACUUGAGUGCAGAAGAGGAGAGUGGAAUUCCACGUGUAGCGGUGAAAUGCGUAGAGAUGUGGAGGAACACCAGCGGCGAAGGCGACUCUCUGGUCUGUAACUGACGCUGAGGAGCGAAAGCGUGGGGAGCGAACAGGAUUAGAUACCCCAGUAGUCCCUGUCUCUUAUAC